Non-coding RNA from Podarcis muralis (Common wall lizard), 1352 nucleotides. NCBI's taxonomy places the organism in Eukaryota, Metazoa, Chordata, Lepidosauria, Squamata, Lacertidae. The record is from RefSeq and is a predicted model, not a curated record.
UCCAAAGCUUAUCAAUAGCUAUGAGACUCCUGAGGCAGUGAUGGCAGUAUGUGACAACUCUGUUUUUAUUUUGUAGGUACAGUGAAGGCGAAAUAAGGUUUAACUUGAUGGCAAUUGUAUCUGACAGAAAAAUGAUAUACGAACAGAAAAUUGCAGAGUUGCAGAGACAACUUGCUGAGGAAGAGCCCAUGGAUACAGACCAGAGCAGUAAUUACUAAGUUCUAUUCAGUCAGAAGUUGCAAAAUAUCAGAUGUUAAUUGACGAAGAAAACCAAAAAUUGAAAAGAUACAAGGGGGCUGUGCAACCUGAUCCCUCCAGCAAGGUCAGAUGGCUUGUAAUCCUAAUUCUAGUUCCUGUUUAAAACUCCUCCUUUGUUUCAGAUCACUUCGUAAUUUUUAACAUUUGAUCUUUCUAAUAAAAGACACCCCUCCCCCCGCAACCUGCUCUGUGGUCUCUGUUCUGUGGCUUGUUACAUAAACUGGCACAGACAUUAGUGCAGCCAUUUGGCUCCCACAGAUAACUGGACACCUUAAGAGGUACUCGUGUUGGAAGAUGUGUAGCUCUUGUUCCAUUAAUUGGAACAUAAUUUCCCGUCUGUUCAUGGAAUGGAAGGGGCAAGCUUCGUAAUCUGACAUUAACACUUCGCGUGCAGAGGACUACCUGCAGGAACAAUUAUUUGCAGGUUAAACUGGUUACAGCGGGAUCUGUACCUGCUGCAACUCUGAUCUAACUUUUUUGUGUGUUGCUUCCGUUACAGUUUGCUUCUUAGUGUGAUUGUAAUGUUACAUAGCAUAGUGUGUGGAUUUCUGAGAUCAGGGUGGCCACGGGAGUACUUCAACAUGGAACCUGCAAGCCUCACACUCCCUUGGCACGCGCAGAGGCCAAAAUUUGACACACACAAACACACAGCUCUUGUGCUGCCUUCCCAAACCCUGAUAAGCAAGGCAGUGAGCUUUAAGAAGGAGCAGAAGGCUCUGGCAAGGUCCUAGAUCCCACUGCCUCGCUUACCCAGUUACAGGAAGGCAGCACAAGGGCUGGGGCAGGGAGUUGUCAGAUGUUGCUGAGGGCUGCCAAAAAGACCUUGAGGGCUGCAUAUUUCUGCUCUGUUCAGAUACAUUUAUACCAUAGUGAUGCAUCAAAGGCUUUUCUUACUCUGCACAGACUUCUUUCACUGCCCAAAGCACUACAGGUUGCAGGCUUUUAUACAGACUAAUGAUAAUUGACUUAAUUUGCCAGCUAGAUUACCUUAAGAGCCUUGUCGGAAUGGCUGAAGUAAAUCCCAUUAUGAUGUUUGAAACGUGUGGCAGAAAACUCCUAAUUUACCCUUGGGCUUCUUAACUUGUUGAAUGCAG